GAUAAUUCAUACAGGACAAAAACAAUUUGGCUGUUCUGAAUGUGGACGAAGAUUUGGACUAAAGAGCAAUCUGAACAAACACAUGAUAAUUCAUACAGGACAAAAACAGUUUGUCUGUUCUGAGUGUGGUCAAAGAUUUGGGCAAAAGAGCAGCCUGACCAGACACAUGAUAAUUCAUACAGGACAAAAACAAUUUGCCUGUUCUGAAUGUGGUCAAAGAUUU
Long non-coding RNA from Thalassophryne amazonica, 223 nucleotides. RefSeq lists it as uncharacterized. The record is from RefSeq and is a predicted model, not a curated record. The transcript has 2 exons. Lineage: Eukaryota; Metazoa; Chordata; Actinopteri; Batrachoidiformes; Batrachoididae.